This 77-nucleotide transfer RNA is filed under the name Kiritimatiellia bacterium. RNAcentral describes it as "Kiritimatiellae bacterium (gut metagenome) tRNA-Arg". It matches the Rfam family "tRNA". Rfam says of the family: Transfer RNA (tRNA) molecules are approximately 80 nucleotides in length. Their secondary structure includes four short double-helical elements and three loops (D, anti-codon, and T loops). Further hydrogen bonds mediate the characteristic L-shaped molecular structure. tRNAs have two regions of fundamental functional importance: the anti-codon, which is responsible for specific mRNA codon recognition, and the 3' end, to which the tRNAs corresponding amino acid is attached (by aminoacyl-tRNA synthetases). tRNAs cope with the degeneracy of the genetic code in two manners: having more than one tRNA (with a specific anti-codon) for a particular amino acid; and 'wobble' base-pairing, i.e. permitting non-standard base-pairing at the 3rd anti-codon position. Lineage: Bacteria; Pseudomonadati; Kiritimatiellota; Kiritimatiellia. The record is from RNAcentral. RNAcentral also lists the same sequence under 1 other name.
GCGACUGUAGCUCAAUUGGAUAGAGCGUUGGCCUCCGAAGCCGAAGGUUGUGGGUUCGAACCCCGUCAGUCGCACCA